GACGAACGCUGGCGGCGUGCCUAAUACAUGCAAGUAGAACGCUGAAGGAGGAGCUUGCUCUUCUGGAUGAGUUGCGAACGGGUGAGUAACGCGUAGGUAACCUGCCUGGUAGCGGGGGAUAACUAUUGGAAACGAUAGCUAAUACCGCAUAAUAGUAGAUGUUGCAUGACAUUUGCUUAAAAGGUGCAAUUGCAUCACUACCAGAUGGACCUGCGUUGUAUUAGCUAGUUGGUGAGGUAACGGCUCACCAAGGCAACGAUACAUAGCCGACCUGAGAGGGUGAUCGGCCACACUGGGACUGAGACUCGGCCCAGACUCCUACGGGAGGCAGCAGUAGGGAAUCUUCGGCAAUGGACGGAAGUCUGACCGAGCAACGCCGCGUGAGUGAAGAAGGUUUUCGGAUCGUAAAGCUCUGUUGUAAGAGAAGAACGAGUGUGAGAGUGGAAAGUUCACACUGGACG
Molecule: ribosomal RNA, 461 nt
Filed under: Streptococcus sp. oral taxon 064
Lineage: Bacteria; Bacillati; Bacillota; Bacilli; Lactobacillales; Streptococcaceae
Description: bacterial SSU rRNA
Rfam family: Bacterial small subunit ribosomal RNA
Source: RNAcentral